Lolium rigidum is the source of this 3310-nucleotide long non-coding RNA. RefSeq lists it as uncharacterized. The record is from RefSeq and is a predicted model, not a curated record. Lineage: Eukaryota; Viridiplantae; Streptophyta; Magnoliopsida; Poales; Poaceae. The transcript has 4 exons.
GCCUGGGUACUCCGCGGCGCCGGCCGGACCUCUCACUGUCGUUCCGCUUCCGCUGGAAGGCGAGCUGUUCGUGGUGAUGGGAUUGAUGGUGAUGGACCUCGCUGGCUCUGGGUGCUCGACAGUUGUGUGAAGAGGGAGAGUUUCCAAGGCGAUGUAGCAGGAGGCUCAUAGAAAUUUAUCAGCAAUGUCAUGUUGUUUACUGAUUGAUUGAUGUUGUAGGUUGCCAUGCUGCUGUUGAUGCCAUGGUCGGGAGGCAUUCCUCAGUGGUUCCAUCUUCUGGUUUGCAUGCUCCAUCUCCGCCUCGAAGAUGUAUGUCGGUUGCUUCCAUUGGUACUUCUGAUGGGAGAGUUGUUGGGUCAUUUUCUGGUGGAUAAUUUUCCUCUUCUGGAUGGAAUGUGAGUCAGCUGAUAGUCCUGCUGGUGCUAUCAAAAGCAGAACAUAACCUGGUUAUGAAGAACUUGCUUCAUUUUAUUUUAACGCCAUGUCUUACCUUUAGUGAAUCUGAUUAGGGAGCUUUAUGGUGCCAAACAUCUACCACUGCCGCUUAUUCCUUAUGACGGACGGAUUCAGUUAUUAUCUUGGAAGCUCUAAUUGCACAGAGAAAUGGGAAAUUAAUCUGGUUAUUUGGAUUGGCAAUUUCUUAACAACAAGAAACAGUUCCCUCAUAUAUUUUACUUUCUGAAAGAUUAACGUUUUUCCACUCCAGCAUGUCUUCAACUGCCUGUGAUAUUUUUCAUAUUCCUCUUUUAGAGGAGGGCUGCGAUGCUCCUAUUUUAUUAUUUCCAACAAAGCCUUGGUCUCGGAAAACAUCAGGUUUUAGCACCCCGAAGGUAUACGCAAAGUUCUCCCAUGUAUCCUCCCAAAAGUUUUCAUUUGCAAUGGAAAUCAUACAGUGAACUAAACCGUUGUUGUUCUACCUUUUACUUACUGAUAGGCUUAAUACAUGAGGCCUGCUGCAGCGUUAGAAUAUUUUUUUGGAAGAUAACAGAUGUGGAUUUUGCAAACAACUCACAAUUAAGACACGAGAUUAUUUAUUUUUCCAAUACAUGUUUGGUUGGACAUGCUGGAAAUGUAUUUGUUUAGAUUUCACAACUACAGAUUCUAUUCAUACUAUUAUUCGAUAUAUGUUGACCGGUCCUUUUCAUAUGGUUAUCAUAUACAUAGGCUCAUAUGGAAAUGAUUGUGAUUCAGGUGGAUUGAUGUAGGCUGUUAGGUUUGAAUAACUUAUAGACAUGUAUUAUGUAUUAUGGCAUAUUGUUUUAUAUGCGGUGUGCAAUAAAAUCCAGAAUCAUUUGUUAAGAUACGAGCUAGCUUAUAGAUAUUUUUCUUUUAUGAGUUCAGCAUAAUUUUUAUAAGGUUAUCAUCAUACAGAGGUUCAGUGUUGUGAGAAUCAUUUCUCCUUUAAGAGUGUGUUGUCACUACUUUCUUUGAAGAAACACUUCGUCAAGCUUCAUUUUGAGAGUCCAAUGAUCGGUGGAAUGAGACAGAUAAUUAAAACCAUUAAUUGCGGUUGUUGUUCAAACUAUUACGUUUGCUUUAAAGAUAAAAGUCUACAAAGUUACUCCCAUAUGGUCAGAUUAUGUUCUCUUAUUACCUUUUCCAAGUAAAUUGUUUGAAGUUUUGAUAAAAAAUGAUCUGACCUAUCCACACAAGUUUUUGAUUCAUUUGCUUGGUCAUGAUGGCUCUGCUAUGAUGCUAUGAUCUAGAUUCUUGAACACUGAAGACCUCACAGCAUGCGCGAGCAGUAAAGAUAACCCUAUGCACUGGCUUAGAUUGAUCAUUGUUGCGGUGGUUUGUUUUCUCAAUCAGUUCACGCUUGGUCUCCACACUUAUCUUGCAGGAAACUUAAGAAAAUAGAAAUGCAGGCCACUCCAGUAAAAGAUGUCUCACCUCGAUCUCGGCGGAAUGCUCUUUUGCAUCUUUCACAGAUCUUGGAGAACAAGGACCAAGAAUAGAAUGUGUAUGAAUUGGGGUUCAUUGUCGUUGACCAACUGGUAUCUCCUGAACACUCAGUUUCUUGAUCCUCCACGCUGACCUGCACAUGAGAUUCAUGCUGUUAGCUUAGCCAUCUCAUUCAAUUAUCUGCCGAUAUUUACUCAACCUUCAGUAUUUCAUCUGAGCGUUUGAAUUUUUAGUUCCACUGUUAUCAUCUUCAUAUGAAACACCUACAAUUAGACAUGUUCAUCUUCUUUUUUACUAGCUGACAUUACAUAUUCCUUUUUCGGUUUAUUUUUCUUAGUAAACUUUAUUUUGACCUAUGGACAAAGUCGCAUAAGUUUUUGUAGUGUAAACCAUCCGAAGAAUUUCAACUUCCUACAUGUGGCCACACGCUGUCAUGGUUGGAACAUCAGGACCAACACAUUACCAUGUUUUGCACAUGACGAGAUCGGCUUCACUGCCGGGGCGCUUCAGGAGUUCAUGCAUCUGCUUUCUUACCUUACGUACAAUUAGAAGAAACAUAGCCUUGUUUCUCUGUUCUUUCCAGGUACCAGAGGAGCACAAACAUUGACAUUAAUCAGUACGUAACACCAUCUAUUGUAUUUGUCUGGCUAACAAUACCAUCCAUUGUGUUUGUCUCCCUAACAAUACGUAAUAGGUUGGCCAUUCUUUUUUUUUUUGCGGGGAAUAGGUUGGCCAUUCUGUGUACCUAGCGUUCAGUAGGCGGUGUUAAGAACUUACCCCCUGGAUGAUGCUUAUAUGUGCCUAUCUACCUGAACACAGGGAAUGAUCUAAGGAUUCAUUUUAUAAUUGUUGAAGUUUUUCCCAUAUGAGACUUUAUAUGGAAAGCCCUGGCGUAACUAGAAAGAAGGCUAAGUACGUGCAGCUUUAGUAGCAAACCAUCUUUGUUUUUACCAUCGUUUUGUCCCACACAUAAUAACAAGAAGUGGAGAGACUCAGGACCUACCAUUGCGCUAUUGCAGCAACUAAAAAAGGAAGCACAAGAUUUUGAUCUAGAGAGCCAACAAGUCUCACCAAACCUUCCACAAGCAAGCACCUGAAGUGAUGAACCAGAUAAGCUGCUUGCAAGAAAACUGGUGGCUGAACACUGUUGACGAUAAGGGUUAGCAUUAGUAGCAGCAACAACUCCGGUACUGCCUGCACCACUUCUUCUCCGUUGGUAUACAUGAGCUCAAGUAGUCCCAACAAAACAGGAUUAUCACUGAUAGAAUUAACGGCGAGACUGCGAGAGGGCCACCAUCUUCAAGUUGUACAUACUCAUUGUUCACUUUGACUUUGGACUGCGGAACACAUACAAACAAAAAACAUUUGCCUGGUUGUUAAUUGUCUUCACUAAUUUCUGUUCAUUUCA